Long non-coding RNA from Ostrea edulis (European flat oyster), 341 nucleotides. RefSeq lists it as uncharacterized. The transcript has 2 exons. Lineage: Eukaryota; Metazoa; Mollusca; Bivalvia; Ostreida; Ostreidae. The record is from RefSeq and is a predicted model, not a curated record.
CUGCCAUGUAGCCCGAUGGCCACUGGAUUAUUCAUCGUCGCAAGCUACGGUCACUUAGUCCGGACUUGGUAGUCGGGUUCGAAUAUCAUUUGUAUUGGUCACGUGGUGAAGGCAUAUAAAUAGGCGAACAUGUGUUUGUACGGCAUUCUAAGCACGCUCGCUAGUUCCACGUACAGGUAAAUUUUACAAUAUUUCUAUGGCGGAUAGUAACCAUUUAUCAGAUGACAUUAAUCUGUGUAUAUAUUGAUGUGUAUUAACAUGAGUAGUUUUGUUUGCGAUAUAUUUCUUAAGGACAUUACGAGUGAUGAAUAAAGUGCUAGCGAGCUGCCAUCCUACUUAUA